UACGGAGGGUGCGAGCGUUGUCCGGAAUCACUGGGCGUAAAGGGCGCGUAGGCGGCAUGCCAAGCGUGUGGUGAAAGCCCGGGGCUCAACCCCGGGUCGGCCGUGCGGGCUGGCGUGCUCGAGCACUGUAGGGGCGGGUGGAAUUCCGGGUGUAGCGGUGGAAUGCGUAGAGAUCCGGAAGAACACCGGUGGCGAAGGCGGCCCGCUGGGCAGGAAGGCUCGCAAGAGCCGGCUGACGCUGAGGCGCGACAGCGUGGGGAGCAAACAGG
RNAcentral lists this ribosomal RNA (269 nucleotides) under uncultured bacterium. RNAcentral describes it as "partial 16S ribosomal RNA". It matches the Rfam family "Bacterial small subunit ribosomal RNA", at positions 524 to 776 of the family's 1533-position model. The record is from RNAcentral.